AGAGAUGAGGAAAGGUAUUGCAUUACAAACUCCGCGACUGCGCACAGUCGCGCCAUCCCCGAGAACUACAGAAAAGGUUGUGGUAUGUUCCACCUUUAGUUUCAGAUUUUGGGCAACAUGUUCCGCAAUAAAACAAUGGCUAGCGCCACUAUCCACCAUUGUUAGCAGUCGUCGUUCUCCCACUUUACUAAACAACUCCAGUGUUUGGGCUCCACCAAACCCAUUG
Molecule: long non-coding RNA, 226 nt
Filed under: Salvia miltiorrhiza (redroot sage)
Lineage: Eukaryota; Viridiplantae; Streptophyta; Magnoliopsida; Lamiales; Lamiaceae
Description: long non-coding RNA (SMIL_LNC014224)
Source: RNAcentral